This 426-nucleotide ribosomal RNA is filed under the name uncultured bacterium. RNAcentral's name for it is "partial 16S ribosomal RNA". It matches the Rfam family "Bacterial small subunit ribosomal RNA", at positions 354 to 796 of the family's 1533-position model. The record is from RNAcentral.
GUGAGGAAUUUUCCGCAAUGGGCGAAAGCCUGACGGAGCAAUGCCGCGUGAAGGAUGAAGGCCUAUGGGUUGUAAACUUCUUUUCUUAGAGAAGAAUAUUGACGGUAUCUGCAGAAUAAGCAUCGGCUAACUCUGUGCCAGCAGCCGCGGUAAGACAGAGGCUGCAAGCGUUAUCCGGAAUGAUUGGGAGUAAAGCGUCUGUAGUUGGUUUCACAAUUCUCCUGUCAAAGAUCAGGGCUUAACCCUGGGCCGGCAGCGGAAACGCUGAGGCUAGAGUUUUGUAGGGGGCGGGGGAAUUCCGGGUGGAGCGGUGAAAUGCGUAGAGAUCGGGAGGAACACCAAAGGCGAAAGCACUCUGCUGGGCCACAACUGACACUGAGAGACGAAAGCGAGGGGAGCAAAAGGGAUUAGAUACCCCAGUAGUCC